UCUGCGCCGUUCCCCCUUCGUCCCCACCCCGCCGCCCAUCCCAUGGCGACCAAAUCCCCCAGCCCUACCACGGACCCAGCACCCGCACCAGGCCCUACCCAGCACCCGCUCCGCCGCAGUCACUCUCCGGUCUCCGCGCGGGGCUCUACGCCGACCGCACCGAGCAGCAGCAGCAGCAGCGCAAUGAAGCCAACCAAGUCAGUGAGAUCCAAAGUCGGGGAGUCUCUGCCUGCUACCUUGAGCACUGAUUUCGACAACCAGGUUGGGGGGCAGAAAUCUUGUGGAAGUAACAGAUCAAGCGAUUUAGAAUAUCUAGCAAACGAGAUAGAUGAUCUUGUGCUGCAACCAAGGUAUGAUGGCGUGAAUGGGCCAAAGAUGGUCUCAUUCUCUGACUUCCUGCGGAUCGUUGCUUCAGAAUCAGAACGACAACCUAGACGACGUCAGCCCAUUGGUGCCCUGCCGCAAGAUGAUCGUAACGUUUGUUCUUUAAGAACCCCAUCUCCACCCGUUGAAGAAGAACCAAAGGGAGAUGUGUUAGUCAAAUCCUCCCCUGAAAAGGCGGAUGCUGCAUUGGCGCAUGCUAUUAUGUGAGAGGGAACAAUUCAUCUUACUGGGUCUUCACUCACAAAUGUUGUUGCUAUCUUCAAAAGCGGUGAAAAGCCAUCUGCCAAUGAGUGGCCCCGCUCUCUCGAGAUCAAGAAAAGAGUGAGCCUCGGUGUUUUUGAAAAAUUGCUUGGACUGCUUCGUGAAUCCAGGAAACGUACUAUAAUGGUAACUGAGUUGCGUUGGAAGGAGGGCUCUAUUGAGAGUGGUCGGCAUCAUCUCUUAAAGACCAUAGAGUCGUAUACUGCCAAUGGUUAGUGAAGCCAACCGAAGAGGUGGAGUUGUUCCUCUGUCCUUAUCAAGGGAAGGCAGCUCAGAUACUUGCUGACAACCUGCUAAAGGAGCACUCGGGCAGUUUAACCACUUUGCUUGCAACAUCUAUUAUCGGAGUUGUGGUGUGGCCAAGACCCCAUAUCUCAUCUAUGGUAGUUUAAAUUUGUGCAAUCUGCAAGCGUCUGUCCGCUUUGAUGCACGGUUGCCUUGUCCCUCGUCCACUCAUCAGUUAAUAUAUGCAAGUAUCAUAAGAUCUGCAUAUUGAGAUGGUUUUAUGUUAUGUUGUGUCAGAACCUCGUGCACCUAGCCAUCUUGGUUUGUUUCCCUUCCCAGGGAGUCAAGUACUUGGUAUAUGUAACUGCAACAAGUUGAAUGCUAAAAUUGCUAUGUUUGGUUGCUUUCUUGCUG
Molecule: long non-coding RNA, 1284 nt
Organism: Triticum dicoccoides
Lineage: Eukaryota; Viridiplantae; Streptophyta; Magnoliopsida; Poales; Poaceae
Exons: 6
Source: RefSeq, a predicted model, not a curated record